UCCCCGCGCUUGCCACCGAUAUUUGGCAUUUGUACAACAUGGCAGACAUCGACAAGUAAUUGGUACUUUUGAACCUUGGUGUGAUACUGUAAUAUUGUAGCAAAGAACAGUCUGAACUUGAUCAAGAUUUGGAUGAUGUUAAAGAAGUAGAAGAGGAGGAGACUGGUGAAGAAACAAAACUCAAAGCGUGUCAGCUGACUGUUCAGAUGAUGCAAAAUCCUCAGAUUCUUGCAGCCCUUCAAGAAAGACUUGGUGGUCUGGUAGAAACACCAACAGGAUACAUUGAAAGCUUGCCUAGGGUAGUUAAAAGACGAGUGAAUGCCCUUAAAAACCUUCAAGUUAAAUGUGCGCAGAUAGAAGCCAAAUUCUACGAGGAAGUUCAUGGUCUUGAAAGAAAGUAUGCUGUUCUUUAUCAACCUCUGUUUGAUAAGCGAUUUGAGAUCAUUAAUGCCAUCUAUGAACCUACAGAAGAAGAAUGUGAAUGGAAACCAGAUGAGGAAGAUGAAAUUUCGGAGGAGCUAAAAGAAAAGGCCAAGAUUGAAGAUGAGAAAAGGGAUGAAGAAAAAGAAGAUCCCAAGGGAAUUCCUGAGUUUUGGCUGACCGUUUUUAAGAAUGUUGACUUGCUCAGUGAUACGGUUCAGGAACAUGAUGAACCUAUUCUGAAGCACUUGAAAGAUAUUAAAGUGAAGUUCUCAGAUGCUGGUCAACCUAUGAGUUUUGUCUUAGAAUUUCACUUUGAACCCAAUGAAUAUUUCACAAAUGAAGUGUUGACAAAGACAUAUAGGAUGAGGUCAGAACCAGAUGAUUCUGAUCCCUUUUCUUUUGAUGGACCAGAAAUUAUGGGUUGUACAGGGUGCCAGAUAGAUUGGAAAAAAGGGAAGAAUGUCACUUUGAAAACGAUUAAGAAGAAGCAGAAGCACAAGGGACAUGGGACAAUUCAUACUGUGACCAAGACAGUCUCUAAUGACUCUUUCUUUAAUUUUUUUGCCCCUCCUGAAGUUCCUGAGAGUGGAGAUCUCUAUGAUGAUUCUGAAGCUAUCCUUGCUGCAGACUUUGAAAUUGGUCACUUUUUACGUGAGCGUAUAAUCCCAAGAUCAGUGUUAUACUUCACUGGAGAAGUUAUUGAAGAUGAUGGCGAUGAUUAUGAUGAAGAAGGUGAAGAAGUGGAUGAGGAAGGGGAAGAAGAAGGAGAUAAGAAAAUGAUCCAGACUAUGACCCAAAGAAGGAUCAAAACCCAGCAGAGUGCAAGCAGCAGUGAAGCAGGAUGUAUGUGGCCUUGAGGAUAACCUGCACUGAUCUACCUUCUGCUUUCCUGGAAAGGAUGAAUUUACAUCAUUUGACAAGCCUAUUUCAAGUUUUUUGUUGUUUGUUUGCUCAUUUUUGUUUUUGCAGCCUAAAAUAAAAAUGUCAUAUAAUUUUAGUUCUCAAAAGAUAAUGUCUUAAUUUUAUACUAAUUCAGGUAGAAGCAGAGCCCUAGCUUUAAUUAUGUACCCAGUUUACCAUAUUACUGAAGAAAAGGGUGCCAAAUUUGGAAGAGGUACUACUAUAUCUACUAAUAAGAAAGUAUUUUAAAAAAAGAUAAAUUCUUAAAUGAUUUAAUGGUUCUCAUAGAAGAGUAAAAGGUUAAAAUUUCAUUUCCUUUGGUCAUAACCAGACUGAAGGCCCCGAGCCUUACAGUCAAUUCCAGUUCUUACUGCUUAAAAUGUGUCAUUUAUUUACCCUUGCCUUUUGUUUGACUGUGUAUUAAAAUGGGUAGUACUGUUGACUUAAUUACCUCACAGAUGUGUUAAGGCAUAUUAAGUUAAAAAUUUUAUGAAAUGUUUCUCAGUUGCAUUAAAACCUCAAAACUUUGGACCUGUUGUACCAUAAGUAUGUGAUAUUCAACAUCUUAAUUAUACCAAGGCUUGAUAUGAAUAGUUAAACUGGUAAACCAAGUAUAAGUACCUUUAUUCUGGAUCCAGUCGGGCAACACUUGUAGACCUUUGUGUGGCUCCUGUUUUAACAGAAGUAGGUAAUGAGCAGCUGUUUCAAGGGGUCCUAGGAUUUUUUCCAGCUAUUUUAAUUCUGACUAUAUUGUAGUAAAUACUAUAGAGGUCAUGGAACUAAAGUGAAAAUAAGACCAUUGUUAGAGGCGGGAAAUGCCAUUAAAUUAGGGACUGUAGAGCCACAUUUAAAAUACCUCAGGCUAAAUACUGUUACUUUUGGGGAUGAAUAUUAAAGGUUUGACAGAGUGGACUAAUUGGGUUAUAAUUAUAGGAAAGCCUAGAAUUCCUGGUUUUAAUAAAAUUACAUUGGGCUCAUUUUUAGAGGUGAUAGAGCUUCUGUUUUAAAAAUUUAGUAUUAAGGUCUUAGAAUAUAAACACAUUUUGUUAUUUGUAUAGUACUAUCCAUUCCUCCUGAAAUUUUAAGUACCUACUGGAAAUCCUUAACCAGUUGCAGUAGUUCAUAAAAAAUGCCAUGAAAACACCUUCUGUUUUUCCUCUUCAUUUUCAAAAUGAUUUUGCUUGUUUUAAUUAGACAGUCUGCGGUGAUUUUCUUUUUUUGUACCCAUAGCUCAUUUGAACACAGCUUCUUCUGAACUAAAAAAUUUUAAUCUGAAGAUAGAAUCCCAUUUUUAAUGAACUUAAAAGUAGCAGCAAAACUCUUCCUUUAGGAAAUAGCGGUUGCCAAAGUGAAGAGAUAAAUAACUAUUUCAUGUAAUAUUGGGGGAAUAUGGUCUGCAGAGGAAUUUUUUUUUUAAAUAAAGUUGGAGUUUCAAGGGAUAUCAGUGUUCAUCAAUGCCAUCUCUCCAGUUUCAAGACGGUUCUAUUCCAUUUUAGAAAUUUGACAUAUGUAAUUUGAAAUCCUUAAUAAAAUUUGCAUUUAAUUUAAAAAA
Molecule: non-coding RNA, 2875 nt
Organism: Odocoileus virginianus texanus
Lineage: Eukaryota; Metazoa; Chordata; Mammalia; Artiodactyla; Cervidae
Source: RefSeq, a predicted model, not a curated record